Molecule: long non-coding RNA, 660 nt
Filed under: Daucus carota (carrot)
Lineage: Eukaryota; Viridiplantae; Streptophyta; Magnoliopsida; Apiales; Apiaceae
Description: long non-coding RNA (DCAR_LNC006012)
Source: RNAcentral
GCUCUAGUACCACUUCCGUAGGUGAUCACGGUUGCAUUUAGCACAUGCAACAAGCCCUUUAAACCCCUAGAUAGCUCUAGUGGACGAGUGUGUUCUCGUGAGGGUUUGUAGAAGAUGUACCCACAAAAUCCCAAGUCGUGAUGAAUCCACAAUUCUCUAUUCUUGCAAAUAAUGCACCAAAAACAACCUAAAAUGAUAGAAAAUCACUUCAUCACCUCAACUCGUGACCUGCACAGAAAAACACUAAAAACACAUCAAAAGACACUAAACACUUAAGUACAACCAACCAAUUUAAGUGGAAAUGAAGGCCUAUAAGUGUGUAUAAAUACCACUUAUCACACCCCCAAACUUAAACUGAUGCUUGUCCUCAAGCGUCAACGACACUAUACAAUAAUACAAUGCAAUGCAUGAAUGCAACUACGUGAUGAAUGAGUGAACUAUGAAGUAAUUGCCUUGCCAAUUAUAAUGCCUCAGAUUGUGCUAAUGUUCUCGAAUUUCACUUCUCUCGCUACCAAGUCAAUUACUCUUCUAUUUACAAGUGUGGAGUGCCAGUGUGUGCAAGCAUGCUCUUUUAUUGAGACAAGACAAAAACUACUACUCCCACAGAAUCCCAAUCAAGAAUCGUAAAAGUUUAGAACUAACACCCCGUCACUCAAGUCC